AGAUGGAUCAUUCGUAAAUGGGUACAAGUUACUUGGCAAAAAAUGUGGUAUACGACUUAAGCGCAAUGGUGUCCGAUCGCAGUGUGAGCAUGUAGUUGAAAUUUGAUGAUUUUCAGCGAUGGAUGUCUUGGGUCCCGUAACGAUGAAGGGCGCAGCUAGAUGCGAUAUGCAGUUUGACUUGCAAACUUCAGUGAAACAUUAGAUACCUGAACGUAAAAGGUACUUCUGGAUUCGUUCAGGAGUAUGCUCACUUCAGUGCUUCAUAUCAUUGUUAUGGUAACAACGUUACAUAACGUGUAUAGUUGCUGCUAGCGUAGCGGCGACUCAAGUUAAAUUGCAGUGACUUUUGGGUGAUAGAGAGAAGAAGUCCUUAACUGUUAAUUUUUAACAGGAGUCUGAAUUUGAGCCAGAGUACCCGCUGAACUUAAGCAUAUUAUUAAGCGGAGGAGAAGAAACUAACUAGGAUAUCCUUAGUAACUGCGAGUGAACAGGAAAGUGCUCAAACUGAAAAUUGGCAUUUAGUUGUCGAAUUGUAGUUUCAUGAAGUGCAGCUUGUGAUUGUUUUGGGUGAAGUCUCUUGGAACAGAGUACUAAGAAGGGUGAUAGUCCCGUUUUUGCUCAGAAACAAUUACGUUAAGUGCAUUUUCAAAGAGUCGCGUUCUUUGAGAUUAGAGCGCAAAGUCGGUGAUAAAUUUCAUCUAAAGCUAAACAUUAACGGGGUUCCGAUAGCAUACAAGUACCGUGAGGGAAAGAUGAAAAGGACUUUGAAAAGAGAGUUAAAAGGAACUGAAAUUGCUGAAAAGGAAGCAGAGGGUUUUAGCAUUCCAACGAAUCUUGGUGUUGACGUAGCUGUAACGAGCUAUUGUUGAUGCUAAAGUUUUGUGGUGACUUUGGAAGAGAUUAUUCUUCUUGGUUGAAGUACUGAUGUAUUUCCUUAGUGGUUAUACUUCUGUAGUGCUCUAAGUUAGAAUAAUGUGAACUACUAGUGCAGCCUUCGUGGUCGCAUUAUAGUAUUCCGUUGCUUGCUGUUUCUCUCUGUCCCGUCUUGAAACACGGACCAAGGAGUCUACCUUCUGUGCAAGUGCAAUGGUUGAAAACCAAUGCGCGAAAUGAAAGUGACUAUCGAGAAGGGCAACCGCCAUUGAGUCCCGGUUAAAAAGCUGAGGCUGAGCAUAGAGAGUAGGACCCGAAAGAUGGUGAACUAUGCCUGAGUAGGGUGAAGCUAGAGGAAACUCUGGUGGAGGCUCGCAGCGAUACUGACGUGCAAAUCGUUCGUCAAACUUGGGUAUAGGGGCGAAAGACUAAUCGAACUAUCUAGUAGCUGGUUCCCUC
This 1332-nucleotide unclassified non-coding RNA is filed under the name uncultured Eucoccidiorida. RNAcentral's name for it is "sequence contains 18S rRNA gene, ITS1, 5.8S rRNA gene, ITS2, 28S rRNA gene". The stretch from base 392 to 1332 matches the Rfam family "Eukaryotic large subunit ribosomal RNA", at positions 1 to 961 of the family's 3401-position model. Lineage: Eukaryota; Apicomplexa; Conoidasida; Eucoccidiorida. The record is from RNAcentral.